RNAcentral lists this unclassified non-coding RNA (209 nucleotides) under Hevea brasiliensis (rubber tree). The record is from RNAcentral. Lineage: Eukaryota; Viridiplantae; Streptophyta; Magnoliopsida; Malpighiales; Euphorbiaceae.
AGUGGAGUCCAUUCUAAUGGCUUCUCUCUUGUAAGAAGGGUUCUGGCCCGAAGUGGCCUUUCCUUGACAGACAAACUUCCUGGUGAAGGCAUUACAUUAGGAGAAGCUCUUAUGGCCCCAACUGUGAUAUAUGUCAAGCAGGUGCUAGACAUAAUUAGCAAGGGAGGUGUAAAGGGCAUAGCCCACAUCACUGGAGGUGGUUUUACAGA